Molecule: ribosomal RNA, 253 nt
Filed under: uncultured bacterium
Lineage: Bacteria
Description: partial 16S ribosomal RNA
Rfam family: Archaeal small subunit ribosomal RNA
Source: RNAcentral
UACCAGCCCCCCGAGUGGUCGGGACGUUUAUUGGGCCUAAAGCAUCCGUAGCCGGUUCUACAAGUCUUCCGUUAAAUCCAACUGCUUAACAGGUGGGCUGCGGAAGAUACUAUAGAGCUAGGAGGCGGGAGAGGCAAGCGGUACUCGAUGGGUAGGGGUAAAAUCCGUUGAUCCAUUGAAGACCACCAGUGGCGAAGGCGGCUUGCCAGAACGCGCUCGACGGUGAGGGAUGAAAGCUGGGGGAGCAAACCGG